Molecule: ribosomal RNA, 2933 nt
Filed under: Bacillus thuringiensis
Lineage: Bacteria; Bacillati; Bacillota; Bacilli; Caryophanales; Bacillaceae
Description: bacterial LSU rRNA
Rfam family: Bacterial large subunit ribosomal RNA
Source: RNAcentral
UUUGGUUAAGUUAGAAAGGGCGCACGGUGGAUGCCUUGACACUAGGAGUCGAUGAAGGACGGGACUAACGCCGAUAUGCUUUCGGGGAGCUGUAAGUAAGCUUUGAUCCGAAGAAUUUCCGAAUGGGGAAACCCACCAUACGUAAUGGUAUGGUAUCCUUAUUCUGAAUACAUAGGGUAAGGAAGACAGACCCAGGGAACUGAAACAUCUAAGUACCUGGAGGAAGAGAAAGCAAAUGCGAUUUCCUGAGUAGCGGCGAGCGAAACGGAACAUAGCCCAAACCAAGAGGCUUGCCUCUUGGGGUUGUAGGACAUUCUAUACGGAGUUACAAAGGAACGAGGUAGACGAAGCGACCUGGAAAGGUCCGUCGUAGAGGGUAACAACCCCGUAGUCGAAACUUCGUUCUCUCUUGAAUGUAUCCUGAGUACGGCGGAACACGUGAAAUUCCGUCGGAAUCUGGGAGGACCAUCUCCCAAGGCUAAAUACUCCCUAGUGAUCGAUAGUGAACCAGUACCGUGAGGGAAAGGUGAAAAGCACCCCGGAAGGGGAGUGAAAGAGAUCCUGAAACCGUGUGCCUACAAAUAGUCAGAGCCCGUUAACGGGUGAUGGCGUGCCUUUUGUAGAAUGAACCGGCGAGUUACGAUCCCGUGCGAGGUUAAGCUGAAGAGGCGGAGCCGCAGCGAAAGCGAGUCUGAAUAGGGCGUUUAGUACGUGGUCGUAGACCCGAAACCAGGUGAUCUACCCAUGUCCAGGGUGAAGUUCAGGUAACACUGAAUGGAGGCCCGAACCCACGCACGUUGAAAAGUGCGGGGAUGAGGUGUGGGUAGCGGAGAAAUUCCAAUCGAACCUGGAGAUAGCUGGUUCUCCCCGAAAUAGCUUUAGGGCUAGCCUUAAGUGUAAGAGUCUUGGAGGUAGAGCACUGAUUGGACUAGGGGUCCUCAUCGGAUUACCGAAUUCAGUCAAACUCCGAAUGCCAAUGACUUAUCCUUAGGAGUCAGACUGCGAGUGAUAAGAUCCGUAGUCAAAAGGGAAACAGCCCAGACCGCCAGCUAAGGUCCCAAAGUGUGUAUUAAGUGGAAAAGGAUGUGGAGUUGCUUAGACAACUAGGAUGUUGGCUUAGAAGCAGCCACCAUUUAAAGAGUGCGUAAUAGCUCACUAGUCGAGUGACUCUGCGCCGAAAAUGUACCGGGGCUAAAUACACCACCGAAGCUGCGGAUUGAUACCGAAUGGUAUCAGUGGUAGGGGAGCGUUCUAAGGACAGUGAAGUCAGACCGUAAGGACUGGUGGAGUGCUUAGAAGUGAGAAUGCCGGUAUGAGUAGCGAAAGACGGGUGAGAAUCCCGUCCACCGAAUGCCUAAGGUUUCCUGAGGAAGGCUCGUCCGCUCAGGGUUAGUCAGGACCUAAGCCGAGGCCGACAGGCGUAGGCGAUGGACAACAGGUUGAUAUUCCUGUACCACCUCUUUAUCGUUUGAGCAAUGGAGGGACGCAGAAGGAUAGAAGAAGCGUGCGAUUGGUUGUGCACGUCCAAGCAGUUAGGCUGAUAAGUAGGCAAAUCCGCUUAUCGUGAAGGCUGAGCUGUGAUGGGGAAGCUCCUUAUGGGGCGAAGUCUUUGAUUCCCCGCUGCCAAGAAAAGCUUCUAGCGAGAUAAAAGGUGCCUGUACCGCAAACCGACACAGGUAGGCGAGGAGAGAAUCCUAAGGUGUGCGAGAGAACUCUGGUUAAGGAACUCGGCAAAAUGACCCCGUAACUUCGGGAGAAGGGGUGCUUUCUUAACGGAAAGCCGCAGUGAAUAGGCCCAAGCGACUGUUUAGCAAAAACACAGCUCUCUGCGAAGCCGUAAGGCGAAGUAUAGGGGGUGACACCUGCCCGGUGCUGGAAGGUUAAGGAGAGGGGUUAGCGUAAGCGAAGCUCUGAACUGAAGCCCCAGUAAACGGCGGCCGUAACUAUAACGGUCCUAAGGUAGCGAAAUUCCUUGUCGGGUAAGUUCCGACCCGCACGAAAGGUGUAACGAUUUGGGCACUGUCUCAACCAGAGACUCGGUGAAAUUAUAGUACCUGUGAAGAUGCAGGUUACCCGCGACAGGACGGAAAGACCCCGUGGAGCUUUACUGUAGCCUGAUAUUGAAUUUUGGUACAGUUUGUACAGGAUAGGCGGGAGCCAUUGAAACCGGAGCGCUAGCUUCGGUGGAGGCGCUGGUGGGAUACCGCCCUGACUGUAUUGAAAUUCUAACCUACGGGUCUUAUCGACCCGGGAGACAGUGUCAGGUGGGCAGUUUGACUGGGGCGGUCGCCUCCUAAAGUGUAACGGAGGCGCCCAAAGGUUCCCUCAGAAUGGUUGGAAAUCAUUCGUAGAGUGCAAAGGCAUAAGGGAGCUUGACUGCGAGACCUACAAGUCGAGCAGGGACGAAAGUCGGGCUUAGUGAUCCGGUGGUUCCGCAUGGAAGGGCCAUCGCUCAACGGAUAAAAGCUACCCCGGGGAUAACAGGCUUAUCUCCCCCAAGAGUCCACAUCGACGGGGAGGUUUGGCACCUCGAUGUCGGCUCAUCGCAUCCUGGGGCUGUAGUCGGUCCCAAGGGUUGGGCUGUUCGCCCAUUAAAGCGGUACGCGAGCUGGGUUCAGAACGUCGUGAGACAGUUCGGUCCCUAUCCGUCGUGGGCGUAGGAAAUUUGAGAGGAGCUGUCCUUAGUACGAGAGGACCGGGAUGGACGCACCGCUGGUGUACCAGUUGUUCUGCCAAGGGCAUAGCUGGGUAGCUAUGUGCGGAAGGGAUAAGUGCUGAAAGCAUCUAAGCAUGAAGCCCCCCUCAAGAUGAGAUUUCCCAUAGCGUAAGCUAGUAAGAUCCCUGAAAGAUGAUCAGGUUGAUAGGUUCGAGGUGGAAGCAUGGUGACAUGUGGAGCUGACGAAUACUAAUAGAUCGAGGACUUAACCAUAUAA